Long non-coding RNA from Carya illinoinensis, 432 nucleotides. RefSeq lists it as uncharacterized. The transcript is spliced from 2 exons. Lineage: Eukaryota; Viridiplantae; Streptophyta; Magnoliopsida; Fagales; Juglandaceae. The record is from RefSeq and is a predicted model, not a curated record.
ACGCACAUUUUAGCCUCCCUCAUUUUUAUCCCAGACUCCAGUACCCAUUUUGAAUUUCUUUCCCCUCCCUCGCGUUGUGCCCCUACCCGACGAAUUCUUUUCCCCUCUCUCGCGUUGUGCCCGUCUUCGCCCCUCCGACCACUGUCUAGAUCUGUCGAUGAAGUUGACCGACUGAACAAACUCACACCCAGAAGAGAAAGGACCCAUAUUGGAUGGAAGGGAACGACGGCUUGAGGAGAGACUCCUCAGAAAUCACUCCUGAGUAAUUUUCUUUUGUGGGACCAGUAUUAAGAAAACAAAUCGAAUCUUUCUGCUCUUGGUAUUGCAUCUUUUUCCUUCUUCUUCAUUGCUCUUGUAUGAUGCUUUCAGUAAAGCAAAUUGAAUGAUUUAAAUAAAAAAAAAAAUAGUAGUACAAAUUGCGAAGCUUUGGUA